AAUAUAUUAAUAUAAAAAGUAUAUAUAAUUUCCAAUUAUAAAG
Molecule: transfer RNA, 43 nt
Filed under: Rhopalomyia pomum
Lineage: Eukaryota; Metazoa; Arthropoda; Insecta; Diptera; Cecidomyiidae
Description: partial tRNA-Gly
Source: RNAcentral